AUUCCAGCUCCAAUAGCGUAUAUUAAUGUUGUUGCAGUUAAAAAGCUCGUAGUUGAAUUUCUGGUUAAAAUCUUAGCUGGCUUUGGUCGUUAAUGUUUUAAUCAUCCGUUAGAGAACUAUAACCGUCCUUAACUGGUCAUUAUAGAGAUCUAACAUUUUAUUUUGAAAAAAUUAGAGUGUUCAAGGCAGGCAAUCGUCAUGAAUACUAUAGCAUGGAAUAAUGGAAUAGGACUUUGGUUCAUUUUAUUGGUUAUUGAACCUUAGUAAUGAUUAACAGGGACAGUUGGGGGCAUUAGUAUUUAAUUGUCAGAGGUGAAAUUCUUGGAUUUAUUAAAGACUAACUACUGCGAAAGCAUUUGCCAAGGAUGUUUUCAUUG
Molecule: ribosomal RNA, 377 nt
Filed under: Prostomatea sp.
Lineage: Eukaryota; Ciliophora; Prostomatea
Description: partial small subunit ribosomal RNA
Rfam family: Eukaryotic small subunit ribosomal RNA
Source: RNAcentral